This 253-nucleotide ribosomal RNA is filed under the name uncultured bacterium. Its description in RNAcentral is "partial 16S ribosomal RNA". It matches the Rfam family "Bacterial small subunit ribosomal RNA", at positions 524 to 776 of the family's 1533-position model. The record is from RNAcentral.
UACGAAUGGAGCGAGCGUUGUUCGGAAUCACUGGGCGUAAAGCGUGCGCAGGCGGUUUUGAAAGUUAGAAGUGAAAGCCCAGGGCUUAACCUUGGAAUUGCUUUUAAAACUUCAAGACUAGAGUAUUGGAGAGGUUGGCGGAAUUCCGAGUGUAGAGGUGAAAUUCGCAGAUAUUCGGAGGAACACCAAUGGCGUAGGCAGCCAACUGGACAAUUACUGACGCUCAUGCACGAAAGCGUGGGGAUCAAACAGG